AUUGAACGCUGGCGGCAGGCCUAACACAUGCAAGUCGAGCGGAUGAAGGGAGCUUGCUCCUGGAUUCAGCGGCGGACGGGUGAGUAAUGCCUAGGAAUCUGCCUGGUAGUGGGGGAUAACGUCUGGAAACGGGCGCUAAUACCGCAUACGUCCUGAGGGAGAAAGUGGGGGAUCUUCGGACCUUACGCUAUCAGAUGAGCCUAGGUCGGAUUAGCUAGUUGGUGGGGUAAAGGCCUACCAAGGCGACGAUCCGUAACUGGUCUGAGAGGAUGAUCAGUCACACUGGAACUGAGACACGGACCAGACUCCUACGGGAGGCAGCAGUGGGGAAUAUUGGACAAUGGGCGAAAGCCUGAUCCAGCCAUGCCGCGUGUGUGAAGAAGGUCUUCGGAUUGUAAAGCACUUUAAGUUGGGAGGAAGGGCAGUAAGUUAAUACCUUGCUGUUUUGACGUUACCAACAGAAUAAGCACCGGCUAACUUCGUG
RNAcentral lists this ribosomal RNA (484 nucleotides) under uncultured bacterium. RNAcentral's name for it is "partial 16S ribosomal RNA". It matches the Rfam family "Bacterial small subunit ribosomal RNA", at positions 30 to 507 of the family's 1533-position model. The record is from RNAcentral.